ACAGUAAAAGUCAAGGGGUAUUUAAAGGUUACUGGCGGUACAAAGAGAGAGAGAGAGUGGGCGACGGCAGUAAAAGUCAAGGGGUAUUUAAAGGUUACUGGCGGUACAAAGAGAGAGAGAGAGUGGGCGACGGAGGGAGAGAGAGAGCUCGGCGGAGGCAGAGUAAGAUAGAGAGAGGCGCGGCGGUGAUGGAGGAACCGGCUAUGGUCUCCGGCUGACGGUAAUGUUGUCGAUCAUCACUGAAUGGGAACGUGACGGCCGGGGGUUCUAGGGUUCCGGCGGCGGUACCGGUCACUCUAAUCGGUCGAUUCUGGAGACGGUAGAGAGAGAAGCAGCAUACGGUAAUGUUGUCGAUCGUCGCUGAAUGGGAACUUGACGGCCGAGGGUUCUAGGGUUCCGGCGGCGGUACAUGCGAGACAUACAAAGAGCAACAGAGAGAAGCAGCAUACGGUAGAGAGAGAGAGAGAGGAGAGCGGGCGGAGAUACGUUGGCGACGGUGACACGGUGGUGGCGUUGAGGGUUCCAUUUCUCCUGAGCCCUAAUUCAAGAAAAAAACAAGUUGAGGCCUAAAUCGACCUAAGCCUGUACCGGAUAUCAAACAUCACCACCGUCCUUACCAAGUACCAACAACAAUCAGCCGUAUUUGUGAAAUCCUUCGAAGCCAGGAGCCACCGGGUAUUGAUAAACAAAUCCCUCAGAUGAUCUUCGUGACAGACUUGAACCGUAAAUUAGUUUCAUUGUUGAGGUUAUGGACAUGUUGAAUUUUGUCAUUACUAAUACAACUAAAAAGGCCCUUGAAACUAUUACUCGAUAGUGCUGUGAAACUUCAUUUAGCAGGGGAAAGAGGCGCAUACACCCCCUAUAACAACUUCAAUAUCAACCUCUCGACAAUGACGACAUGACACCUAAAGAAUACCACAUAUCUUGAUGCAAUGAUCAGCCUUCAGUCUUGCUAUUCUAUCAAAGAUUACAUAUGCGAGCUUCAAGAUGAAUGUUGAAGAUUGUAUCCCACACAACUUGCAUAAGAUCUGGUAAAACAACUUCAAUGGUUUCCUUACAUAGCAAUAACACACCACAGCACCAGUUCAACUUUGCAUCAUAUUUGUCUAUGUACCGUCUCUGUUAAUGACCAUGUCAUGAGGUUUUUUUGUUUUUGUUAAUGGUUCAUAUUAGCAGAUUCGUUCAGGCAUUUAUCGCGUUUUUUUAAUGGUCCUUUAACCCGAUGUUGAGGUUAUGACCCGUUUUUGCAUCGAUACAAAACACGUUUUGAUAUCACGACUUAGUGUAUUAGAUUUUUGUA
Long non-coding RNA from Helianthus annuus (common sunflower), 1300 nucleotides. RefSeq lists it as uncharacterized. The record is from RefSeq and is a predicted model, not a curated record. Lineage: Eukaryota; Viridiplantae; Streptophyta; Magnoliopsida; Asterales; Asteraceae. The transcript is spliced from 4 exons.